UGCACUUGCCGCGAUGUCCGAGUCCUUCGCGGUUUAUGGAGAAUGGUGCUGCUUAGCUUUACAAAAAGAAGCAACAAGAAACGGUUCCCGUGGAACCUGUUUUUAAUUUUCGUUACUUCGAGAGGCAAGGUCGGCAAAAUAACCUUUCACUCCAAGACGUAGGCGUGUCCAAAUGAGAAGCUGCUGCUCUUGUUUAACACUGCGAGAGCCGGCCGUCAUUUAGAUCCUGAAGACUGUCGCGAAACCGAAACUCACGUCAAAAGGAUUUUUUCGCAUGCGUUCAUGUGACGUUCCGACUGAAAAGAUGCAUUCUUCCUUAAUGAUGUUGAAUUUAGAAUAAGGGACGACACGAACUUCUAGACGUUUGUCUUACACUCUACUUUUAAUGGAACUUGAAGUUGACCUGCUGUUUCUUACGGUAAAUCAUUGAUUGCAACAAUAAGACCAUCGUAACCUUCUUCUUCGCCACUUAUUUCACCUACCUGAGAAGGCAGAACGACAAGAUCAGCUUCAUAAGCAUCAUCUUAGCGUACCAUAGCAAGAGCUUCUUCUGAAGUUAAAUAAACUUCUUUUAGCAUAUUUCAAUUACAGAAUAAAACUUUUGCAAAAUAAACUCAUUAUCUCCGUAAAUAUUAAAAAUAAAAAUAUAUAUUUGUAUAAUAAGAAUAUAUGAACAUGUAAGCAAAUUUUAGUGAAUAAAGGUUAUGAAUU
Stegodyphus dumicola is the source of this 711-nucleotide long non-coding RNA. The record is from RefSeq and is a predicted model, not a curated record. NCBI's taxonomy places the organism in Eukaryota, Metazoa, Arthropoda, Arachnida, Araneae, Eresidae.